GCCGGGAUGGUGGAAUAGGUAGACACAAGGGACUUAAAAUCCCUCGGAAGCGAAAACCUCCGUGCCGGUUCGAUUCCGGUUCCCGGCA
This 88-nucleotide transfer RNA is filed under the name Treponema sp. RNAcentral's name for it is "tRNA-Leu". It matches the Rfam family "tRNA". From Rfam's summary of the family: Transfer RNA (tRNA) molecules are approximately 80 nucleotides in length. Their secondary structure includes four short double-helical elements and three loops (D, anti-codon, and T loops). Further hydrogen bonds mediate the characteristic L-shaped molecular structure. tRNAs have two regions of fundamental functional importance: the anti-codon, which is responsible for specific mRNA codon recognition, and the 3' end, to which the tRNAs corresponding amino acid is attached (by aminoacyl-tRNA synthetases). tRNAs cope with the degeneracy of the genetic code in two manners: having more than one tRNA (with a specific anti-codon) for a particular amino acid; and 'wobble' base-pairing, i.e. permitting non-standard base-pairing at the 3rd anti-codon position. RNAcentral also lists the same sequence under 1 other name. Lineage: Bacteria; Pseudomonadati; Spirochaetota; Spirochaetia; Treponematales; Treponemataceae. The record is from RNAcentral.